GAAUAUGAUGAUAGUUUUUGUCGCCCCAGUCUUACAUGCAUCUUCAGAUGCAAUGAUGGUGACUGACGUUAUCUAUCUGAUUC
Small nucleolar RNA from Rhododendron vialii, 83 nucleotides. RefSeq annotates it as small nucleolar RNA U31b. The record is from RefSeq and is a predicted model, not a curated record. The transcript has a single exon. NCBI's taxonomy places the organism in Eukaryota, Viridiplantae, Streptophyta, Magnoliopsida, Ericales, Ericaceae.